GGGGAAUAUUGCGCAAUGGGGGAAACCCUGACGCAGCAAUACCGCGUGAGUGAAGAAGGUUUUCGGAUCGUAAAGCUCUGUUAUUGGGGAAGAAAAAAAGACGGUACCCAAGAAGAAAGUCCCGGCUAACUACGUGCCAGCAGCCGCGGUAAUACGUAGGGGACAAGCGUUGUCCGGAUUUACUGGGCGUAAAGGGCACGCAGGCGGUUUUUUAAGUCAGAUGUGAAAGGUACCGGCUCAACCGGUGACAUGCAUUUGAAACUGAAAGACUUGAGUAUUGGAGAGGCAAGUGGAAUUCCUAGUGUAGCGGUGAAAUGCGUAGAUAUUAGGAGGAACACCGGUGGCGAAGGCGGCUUGCUGGACAAAUACUGACGCUGAGGUGCGAAAGCGUGGGGAGCAAAC
RNAcentral lists this ribosomal RNA (402 nucleotides) under uncultured bacterium. RNAcentral describes it as "bacterial SSU rRNA". It matches the Rfam family "Bacterial small subunit ribosomal RNA", at positions 356 to 773 of the family's 1533-position model. The record is from RNAcentral.